RNAcentral lists this ribosomal RNA (587 nucleotides) under uncultured bacterium. RNAcentral's name for it is "partial 16S ribosomal RNA". It matches the Rfam family "Bacterial small subunit ribosomal RNA", at positions 355 to 1375 of the family's 1533-position model. The record is from RNAcentral.
UGGGGAAUUUUGGACAAUGGGCGAAAGCCUGAUCCAGCAAUGCCGCGUGUGUGAAGAAGGCCUUCGGGUUGUAAAGCACUUUUGUCCGGAAAGAAAUCCUUGGCUCUAAUACAGUCGGGGGAUGACGGUACCGGAAGAAUAAGCACCGGCUAACUACGUGCCAGCAGCCGCGGUAAUACGUAGGGUGCAAGCGUUAAUCGGAAUUACUGGGCGUAAAGCGUGCGCAGGCGGUUUGCUAAGACCGAUGUGAAAUCCCCGGGCUCAACCUGGGAACUGCAUUGGUGACUGGCAGGCUAGAGUAUGGCAGAGGGGGGUAGAAUUCCACGUGUAGCAGUGAAAUGCGUAGAGAUGUGGAGGAAUACCGAAGGCGAAGGCAGCCCCCUGGGCCAAUACUGACGCUCAUGCACGAAAGCGUGGGGAGCAAAACAGGAUUAGAUACCCUGGUAGUCCACGCCCUAAAACGAUGUCAACUAGUUGUUGGGGAUUCAUUUCCUUAGUAACGUAGCUAACGCGUGAAGUUGACCGCCUGGGGAGUACGGUCGCAAGAUUAAAACUCAAAUGAAUUGACGGGGUCAUAGCUGUUUCCU